RNAcentral lists this non-coding RNA (657 nucleotides) under Carpoglyphus lactis (prune mite). Lineage: Eukaryota; Metazoa; Arthropoda; Arachnida; Sarcoptiformes; Carpoglyphidae. The record is from RNAcentral.
UGCCUGAAGGGGUCUUUAUAUUUUAUCUUCUAUUCUUACUUUAUAGGAUAAAUCUUAUUUUUCUAAUGGUUAGUUUUGUAAAAAUUUUGUUACAGAUAUUGAGGACAAAGCUUGUGCCAGCAGUCGCGGUCAUACCUUUUUCAUUAAAUUUAUUUUAACCCUUUUGUUAUCACUUAAAAAUUUAGUACUUAGGUGAAAUUAUUACUAUUUUUUAACUUUCAGGUGGGUGGUAAAUAUCAACAAACUAGGAUUAGAUACCCUAUUAUGAUGUGGAUACUUUAAGGUAGUAAUUAAUAAUUAAAAAACUUAACCUUUCUGGCGGCCUGUUUUUCUUCAGAGGAGCUUGAUUUUAUAACCUGAUACCCCUCCUUUAUCUUCACCUUUAGUAUUUUUAUGUGCGGCUGUUAAGUUUUAAGAUACAGCUUAUUCCUAAAAAUAAUUUUAUCUUAAUUCAGGUCAAUGUGUAGAAUAUCUAAUGGAUAAAUUGAGCUACUUUUAUUAUUUUUGUGAAGUAAUUCUCAAUAAAAAUGGAUUUGAAAGUAAGCAGUUGUUUAAAUCUGUUGCUGGUUAGUUUUUAAGCAGGAGUACAUAUCGCCCGUCACUCUUUUGAUAGAUAAGUCGUAACAAAGUAGGGGUUUUGGAAAAAGCCUCUUGUUU